Long non-coding RNA from Sebastes umbrosus (honeycomb rockfish), 357 nucleotides. RefSeq lists it as uncharacterized. The transcript has 2 exons. The record is from RefSeq and is a predicted model, not a curated record. Lineage: Eukaryota; Metazoa; Chordata; Actinopteri; Perciformes; Sebastidae.
CUUGCAGGGCGCUAUUUUCAUCUCGAAGAAGUGCAGUUUUCUCAACUUGUUUCUGGAGGGACCCUGUUUCGACAAGCACCUCAUCCUGCAGGGUGCUAUUUUCAUUCUGCAAGGUGCGGAUUUCGUCCUGUAGGGUGUUAUUUUCUUCCCGAAGCAGCGUAGUAUUCUCCAUUUGUUUCUGGAGGGACCCCGUUUGGACGAGCACCUCAUCCUGCAGGGUGCUAUUUUCCUCUCGAAGAAGUGCAGUUUUCUCAACUUGUUUCUGGAGGGACCCUGUUUGGACGAGCACCUCAUCCUGCAGGGUGCUAUUUUCGUUCUGCAAGGUGCUGAUUUUGUCCUGCAGGGUGCUAUUUCCAU